AGAGUUUGAUCCUGGCUCAGGACGAACGCUGGCGGCGUGCUUAACACAUGCAAGUCGAACGAUGACGGUGGUGCUUGCACCACCUGAUUAGUGGCGAACGGGUGAGUAACACGUGAGUAACCUGCCCUUCACUUCGGGAUAACCUCGGGAAAUCGUGGCUAAUACCGGAUAUGAGCUCCUACCGCAUGGUGGGUGUUGGAAAGAUUUAUCGGUGAAGGAUGGACUCGCGGCCUAUCAGUUUGUUGGUGAGGUAAUGGCUCACCAAGGCGAUGACGGGUAGCCGGCCUGAGAGGGCGACCGGCCACACUGGGACUGAGACACGGCCCAGACUCCUACGGGAGGCAGCAGUGGGGAAUAUUGCACAAUGGGCGAAAGCCUGAUGCAGCGACGCCGCGUGGGGGAUGACGGCCUUCGGGUUGUAAACCCCUUUCAGUAGGGAAGAAGCGAAAGUGACGGUACCUGCAGAAGAAGCGCCGGCUA
RNAcentral lists this ribosomal RNA (480 nucleotides) under Brachybacterium sp. BT2(2010). Its description in RNAcentral is "bacterial SSU rRNA". It matches the Rfam family "Bacterial small subunit ribosomal RNA", at positions 8 to 499 of the family's 1533-position model. Lineage: Bacteria; Bacillati; Actinomycetota; Actinomycetes; Micrococcales; Dermabacteraceae. The record is from RNAcentral.